RNAcentral lists this non-coding RNA (82 nucleotides) under bovine gut metagenome. RNAcentral describes it as "S10-Clostridia ribosomal protein leader". It matches the Rfam family "S10-Clostridia ribosomal protein leader". The record is from RNAcentral. RNAcentral also lists the same sequence under 1 other name.
UGAUAGCGUAGAAGCGUGAGGUUGCUACCCACUGUGGUAGGUUUUCCGUGGAGCGAAUGUCAAGUUAGGAAACUGGCGACAA